RNAcentral lists this ribosomal RNA (460 nucleotides) under uncultured bacterium. RNAcentral's name for it is "partial 16S ribosomal RNA". It matches the Rfam family "Bacterial small subunit ribosomal RNA", at positions 338 to 795 of the family's 1533-position model. The record is from RNAcentral.
CCUACGGGAGGCAGCAGUGAGGCAUAUUGGUCAAUGGGCGAGAGCCUGAACCAGCCAAUUCGCGUGAAGGCUGAAGGAUCUCUGGUUUGUAAACUUCUUUUAUAUGGGAAUAAAGUGAGGACCGUGUUCCUUUUUGUAUGUACCAUAUGAAUAAGCCUCGGCUAACUCCUUGCAAGCAGCCGCGGUAAUACGGAGGAUGCGAGCGUUAUCCGGAUUUAUUGGGUUUAACGGGUGCGUAGGUUGUUAAUUUAGUCAGCGGUGAAAGUUUGUGGCUCAACCAUAAAAUUGCUGUUGAAACUGGUUGACUUGAGUAUAUUUGAGGGAGGCGGAAUGCGUGGUGUAGCGGUGAAAUGCAUAGAUAUCACGCAGAACUCCGAUUGCGAAUGCAGCUUACUAAACUAUAACUGACACUGAAGCACGAAAGCGUGGGGAUCAAACAGGAUUAGAUACCCGUGUAGUC